GUAAAAGCUGCCGCCUCCCCAAGUCACGUCCGCCCCGGCUCGCUCCUAUCGCUCCCUUCUCCCUCCAAUAAUUUCGCUUCCUUCAUUCACUUCUCCCGUCCUCCCGCAAAGCCCACCCCGCAGCAGAAAGGGAGGGAGCGCGGAGGAAUCUCCGUCUCCGCCUCCGCCUCCCCCUCCAUGCCCCCGCUCCCCGCCGGGCCCGGCCCAGAUCUCCCGCGCGGCGGCCGCUAGCCGAUCCGCCUAGCCCCGCUCGAUCCGAUGGGCGGGGAGGUGCCGGAGCCGCGGCGGCUCAGCCGCGCGCUCAGCUUCGGCUGCGGCGGCGUGCCCGACGAGGCGCUGCACCUCGUCAUGGGCUACGUCGACGCCCCGCGCGACCGGGAGGCCGCCUCGCUCGUCUGCCGCCGCUGGCACCGCAUCGACGCGCUCACCCGCAAGCACGUCACCGUCGCCUUCUGCUACGCCGCCGACCCGGCCCGCCUCCUCGCGCGCUUCCCGCGCCUCGAGUCGCUCGCCCUCAAGGGCAGGCCGCGCGCCGCCAUGUACGGCCUCAUCUCCGACGACUGGGGCGCCUACGCCGCGCCCUGGGUCGCCCGGCUCGCCGCGCCGCUCGAGUGCCUCAAGGCGCUCCACCUGCGACGCAUGACCGUCACCGACGAUGACGUCGCCGCGCUCAUCCGCUCCCGCGGCCACAUGCUGCAGGAGCUCAAGCUCGACAAGUGCUCCGGCUUCUCCACCGACGCGCUCCGCCUCGUCGCCCGCUCCUGCAGAUCCUUGAGAACAUUAUUUCUUGAAGAAUGUGUGAUUGCUGAUGAAGGUGGUGAAUGGCUUCAUGAACUUGCUGUCAACAAUUCUGUUCUUGUGACACUGAACUUCUACAUGACUGAGCUCAAAGUGGUGCCAGCUGAUCUGGAGCUUCUAGCAAAGAACUGCAAAUCAUUACUUUCUUUAAAGAUCAGUGAGUGUGACCUUUCAGACCUGAUUGGUUUUUUCGAAGCAGCCAAUGCAUUGCAAGAUUUUGCUGGAGGAUCGUUCAAUGAGGUAGGAGAGCUAACAAAGUAUGAAAAAGUCAAGUUUCCACCAAGAGUAUGCUUCUUGGGGCUUACGUUCAUGGGGAAAAAUGAGAUGCCUGUUAUCUUCCCUUUUUCUGCUUCAUUAAAGAAACUGGACUUGCAGUACACUUUCCUCACCACUGAGGAUCAUUGCCAGCUUAUCUCAAAAUGCCCGAACCUAUUUGUUCUCGAGGUGAGGAAUGUGAUAGGAGACAGAGGGCUAGAGGUUGUUGGUGAUACAUGCAAGAAGCUACGAAGACUUCGAAUUGAGCGAGGGGAUGAUGAUCCAGGUCUCCAAGAAGAGCAAGGAGGAGUUUCUCAGUUAGGCCUGACAGCGGUAGCUGUUGGUUGCCGUGACCUGGAGUACAUAGCUGCCUAUGUAUCUGAUAUCACCAACGGCGCUCUCGAAUCCAUCGGGACCUUCUGCAAAAAUCUCUACGACUUCCGGCUUGUCCUGCUCGACAGACAAAAGCAGGUAACCGAUCUGCCGCUCGACAACGGUGUUCGAGCUCUGUUAAGGAGCUGCACCAAGCUCCGGAGAUUUGCUCUCUACCUGAGACCUGGAGGGCUCUCAGACACAGGCCUCGACUACAUCGGGCAGUACAGCGGCAACAUCCAGUACAUGCUACUGGGCAACGUCGGCGAAUCGGACCACGGGUUGAUCCGCUUCGCAAUAGGAUGCACCAACCUGCGGAAGCUUGAGCUUCGGAGCUGCUGCUUCAGCGAGCAAGCCCUGUCCCUCGCGGUGCUCCACAUGCCCUCGCUCAGGUACAUAUGGGUGCAAGGCUACAAGGCCUCUCCAGCAGGCCUGGAGCUCCUCCUCAUGGCGAGGCGAUUCUGGAACAUCGAGUUCACGCCCCCCAGCCCCGAGGGCUUGUUCCGCAUGACGCUCGAAGGAGAACCCUGCGUGGACAAGCAGGCCCAGGUUCUUGCCUACUACUCCCUUGCCGGGCAGAGGCAGGACUGCCCUGACUGGGUGACCCCGUUGCAUCCAGCCGCAUGAAUGAUUGUAAAUACAUCUAGUUGUGUGUACGUACCUACUGUACCUUAUGUUGCCCUUGGGUCCCUUUGGCAAGAACCGUAUCUGAAUAUGGCAAUUUGUAUGGAUGUAGAUCAUUAGCUUAGCUGCUUUGGUGCCCUAAUAAGCUAGUAGUGCUGUAGCUGAGGUGUAGUACAAUAAGUUGCCGUUGUCGCUUGUACUACUAUGUAUGUAAUCCUGGGAAGUUGUAUGCUAAAGUUGCUCUGUGCUUUGAUCUUCUCUCUGAAAUCUUGAUCGGUUGCUGGUUUUGUCUCUGCUUAAAACCAC
This 2355-nucleotide ribosomal RNA is filed under the name Triticum aestivum (bread wheat). RNAcentral's name for it is "partial small subunit ribosomal RNA". Lineage: Eukaryota; Viridiplantae; Streptophyta; Magnoliopsida; Poales; Poaceae. The record is from RNAcentral.